AGCAAUUUAUCCAAACCACCCAAAACAUUGCACAGCAGUGGAUUAAAAUAAAACAAAUUCAAUAUUUCAUAGGAAAAAUUGGAAACAGAAAACAAUGAUUUUGAAACGAUGAGAUAAAAAUGGAAUGAUUAAAAACGUAAAUAACCCAUCAAUGCUUUAAAACCCUUUUCAAUCCCUAAUUAAAACCCAAUUCCGUUUGCAGCAUAGUAGCCGCAAGAAUUGUUUCAUCCUCUCCCCUGCUCUUCACGCCAAAAUCCCCCUUUCAACUUCGAUUUGGAUGAAGCGAAACAAAGAUGUCGAUGGCGCGCCACCGUUGGUGUUUGUGGAGCGCACGUGGAGGAGUCGGCCCCGAGACGUGCGGCGGCUGGAGGCUUUGCUGGAAGCGGGGAGGCUGAUGCUAGGGUUUCCUAACCCUUCCUUUUCCAUUAAUUUCGGGCCUGGGUUAGGAAUUAGCUAUUGGCUCGUUAUUGGAUUUGUAACAAAAUUGGACUGAAACAUUAGCCUUUGUUUCUGUUUGGUUUUUAUUUAUUUAACGGGCCGGGCAGAAAUUGGGCCCUACAAGAUAAGAAGGUUAAUUUUGUGGCA
Gossypium raimondii (Peruvian cotton) is the source of this 585-nucleotide long non-coding RNA. RefSeq lists it as uncharacterized. Lineage: Eukaryota; Viridiplantae; Streptophyta; Magnoliopsida; Malvales; Malvaceae. The transcript is spliced from 2 exons. The record is from RefSeq and is a predicted model, not a curated record.